GAGAGGGUAGCUAUGGGAAAAGUUUUAUAUUUACGAUAUGAUGAUGCCUGUUUGACUCGGGUCUCUCUUA
RNAcentral lists this transfer RNA (70 nucleotides) under Ophiopholis aculeata (daisy brittle star). Its description in RNAcentral is "tRNA-Val". Lineage: Eukaryota; Metazoa; Echinodermata; Ophiuroidea; Amphilepidida; Ophiactidae. The record is from RNAcentral.